Molecule: ribosomal RNA, 440 nt
Filed under: uncultured bacterium
Lineage: Bacteria
Description: partial 16S ribosomal RNA
Rfam family: Bacterial small subunit ribosomal RNA
Source: RNAcentral
CCUACGGGUGGCAGCAGUGGGGAAUAUUGCUCAAUGGGGGAAACCCUGAUGCAGCGACGCCGCGUGAGUGAUGAAGGUUUUCGGUUUGUAAACUCCUUUUAGUAGAGAAGAUAAUGACGGUAUCUAACGAAUAAGCCCCGGCUAACUCCGUGCCAGCAGCCGCGGUAAUACGGAGGGUGCAAGCGUUACUCGGAUUUACUGGGCGUAAAGGGAGCGUAGACGGGAGAGCAAGUCAGAGGUGAAAUCCUAUGGCUUAACCAUAGAACUGCAUUGGAAACUGUUAUGCUAGAGUAGGGGAGAGGUAGGUGGAAUUCUUGGUGUAGCGGUAAAAUGCGUAGAGAUUAAGAGGAAUACCCAUGGCGAAGGCGACUUGCUAGAACAUAACUGACGUUGAGGCGCGAAAGCGUGGGGAGCAAACAGGAUUAGAUACCCUAGUAGUC